GCUGUAGUUCAGUUGGUUAGAGCGUCAGAUUGUGGUUCUGAAUGUCGUGGGUUCGAGCCCCACCC
Molecule: transfer RNA, 65 nt
Filed under: bovine gut metagenome
Rfam family: tRNA
About the family: Transfer RNA (tRNA) molecules are approximately 80 nucleotides in length. Their secondary structure includes four short double-helical elements and three loops (D, anti-codon, and T loops).
Source: RNAcentral